RNAcentral lists this ribosomal RNA (292 nucleotides) under uncultured bacterium. Its description in RNAcentral is "partial 16S ribosomal RNA". It matches the Rfam family "Bacterial small subunit ribosomal RNA", at positions 505 to 796 of the family's 1533-position model. The record is from RNAcentral.
GUGCCAGCAGCCGCGGUAAUACAGAGGUCUCAAGCGUUGUUCGGAUUCAUUGGGCGUAAAGGGUGCGUAGGCGGUAUGGUAAGUCGGAUGUGAAAUCUUGGGGCUCAACCCCAAAACUGCAUUCGAUACUGCCGUGCUUGAAGGCUGAAGAGGAGAUUGGAAUUCACGGUGUAGCAGUGAAAUGCGUAGAUAUCGUGAGGAAGGCCAGUGGCGAAAGCGAAUCUCUGGACAGCUCUUGACGCUGAUGCACGAAGGCCAGGGGAGCAAACAGGAUUAGAUACCCUGGUAGUCC